RNAcentral lists this ribosomal RNA (253 nucleotides) under uncultured bacterium. RNAcentral's name for it is "partial 16S ribosomal RNA". It matches the Rfam family "Bacterial small subunit ribosomal RNA", at positions 524 to 776 of the family's 1533-position model. The record is from RNAcentral.
GACGUAGGGCGCGAGCGUUGUCCGGAUUUAUUGGGCGUAAAGAGCUCGUAGGCGGCUCGUUGCGUCGGCUGUGAAAACCCGCAGCUCAACUGUGGGCUUGCAGCUGAUACGGGCGGGCUGGAGUUCGGUAGGGGAGACUGGAAUUCCUGGUGUAGCGGUGAAAUGCGCAGAUAUCAGGAGGAACACCGGUGGCGAAGGCGGGUCUCUGGGCCGAUACUGACGCUGAUGCGCGAAAGCCAGGGGAGCGAACGGG